This 311-nucleotide ribosomal RNA is filed under the name uncultured eukaryote. RNAcentral's name for it is "partial 18S ribosomal RNA". It matches the Rfam family "Eukaryotic small subunit ribosomal RNA", at positions 1470 to 1796 of the family's 1831-position model. The record is from RNAcentral.
CCCCUAGACGUCCUGGGCUGCACGCGCGCUACAAUAAUACGCACAGCGAGUAUCACCGAGCUCGAAAGGGCAAGGUAAACAAUAGAAAAGGUACUGUAAUGGUUAUAGAUCCUUGUAAUUAUUGAUCUUCAACGAGGAAUUCCUAGUAAGUAUGUGUCAUCAUCACGCACUGAUUACGUCCCUGCCCUUUGUACACACCGCCCGUCGCUCCUACCGAUUGAGUGAGCCGAUGAAACUGCCGGAUGUGGACUAUUCAUAGUCUGCAGAAGAUAUUUGAAUCGUAGCGCUUAGAGGAAGGAGAAGUCGUAACA